AUCCCACCUUUUACACCACCCUCAAUGUUUAUUAUCUAGAACUCUGUUUACAAACAGUUUUGUUUUCAUAUCAUUUUUUGGUAUUUUCAUUUUUUAUAUUUUUUUUUUAUAUUUUUUUAGAGUUUUGUUUUCAUAUCAUUUUUUGGUAUUUUCAUUUUUUAUAUAUUUUUUUUAUAUUUUUUUACAGAGCUCUAGAUAAUAAAAAUAUCAGAUGUUUAAGGUUACAGGUAUUAACAAAGUCAUUCUAAUUCAGAAUAUUGCAAAAUUUUAAUGUUGGUUGAUUUUCUCAUUGUUGAAGUCCAUACAGUAACCUAUUUUACAUCAACAUCAUUUGGUCUCUGUAGGAUAGUAAUGUCUCACAUCUCUUCUUUUCAUAACAAAUCAAUUUGUAGGUUCUAUAAA
Long non-coding RNA from Mytilus californianus (California mussel), 402 nucleotides. RefSeq lists it as uncharacterized. The transcript is spliced from 2 exons. NCBI's taxonomy places the organism in Eukaryota, Metazoa, Mollusca, Bivalvia, Mytilida, Mytilidae. The record is from RefSeq and is a predicted model, not a curated record.